AUGUACACGGCUUACCAGGUGGACGAACAUACGUUCAAGGUGUGUUAUCUCUUGGGCAUGUCAGAUUCAGAAUCUGAAGACCCGGACAAGGAAAGGAACUACUUUGUGAAGGCCUCGAUAAACGAAGGCGAAUACUACUGCCAAUGCUGCAAAUUCGAAAGGGAUGGGAUUGUGUCCUGUCACGUACUGAAAGUAAUGGACAUAUACGCGGUAACGCGAUUGCCCCGCCAUUUCAUACGGCGGCGAUGGACUUGGGACGCUGACGAUGUGUUGGGGCCACAAACAUCAAAUGCAUUUUUGGCUGUGCAUGAUGAGAGACCAGAGGCAACCAUGGACGCCGUGAGGCACAUUGUGUUGACCAAGAACUAUGCUGAACUAAUAGAUGAAGCAUGCAAAAGUGAUGAGACAGCGAGGGUGGGAGAAAAACACAGGAAGGCCCUGAAAAGAGAGCUUGAUGAGAUCAAAAAGAGAAAGGCUGAAGAAGCCUUACAAAGGUUCCCCCGCACCUCAAGUGUGCCUUUGUCCAUGGGUCCAUCAUUUGAAAACUCCGAGGUAGGGUCUGGAAUAGCAAGCACGCAAACCCAGGUCAGGAACCCGCCCCGUUCCAUCACAAAAGGGCGUCCAAAAGAGGUGAGAUACAAAUCGGGGUUGGAAAUUCAAGCAAAACACAAGAAGACAAAGAAAGGGACGGGCAAUCCAUAA
RNAcentral lists this ribosomal RNA (702 nucleotides) under Triticum aestivum (bread wheat). RNAcentral describes it as "partial small subunit ribosomal RNA". Lineage: Eukaryota; Viridiplantae; Streptophyta; Magnoliopsida; Poales; Poaceae. The record is from RNAcentral.